UACGUAUGGUGCAAGCGUUAUCCGGAUUUACUGGGUGUAAAGGGAGCGCAGGCGGCGCGUUAAGCCUGGUGUGAAAGCCCGCGGCCCAACCGCGGGACUGCAUUGGGAACUGGCGCGCUGGAGUGCCGGAGGGGUAGGCGGAAUUCCUAGUGUAGCGGUGAAAUGCGUAGAUAUUAGGAGGAACACCAGUGGCGAAGGCGGCCUACCGGACGGUGACUGACGCUGAGGCUCGAAAGCGUGGGGAGCAAACAGG
This 253-nucleotide ribosomal RNA is filed under the name uncultured bacterium. RNAcentral's name for it is "partial 16S ribosomal RNA". It matches the Rfam family "Bacterial small subunit ribosomal RNA", at positions 524 to 776 of the family's 1533-position model. The record is from RNAcentral.